UAGCUACAGGCUUAACACAUGCAAGUUGAGGGGAAACGACAUCGAAAGCUUGCUUUUGAUGGGCGUCGACCGGCGCACGGGUGAGUAACGCGUAUCCAACCUGCCCACCACUUGGGGAUAACCUUGCGAAAGUAAGACUAAUACCCAAUGACGUCUCUAGAAGACAUCUGAAAGAGAUUAAAGAUUUAUCGGUGAUGGAUGGGGAUGCGUCUGAUUAGCUUGUUGGCGGGGUAACGGCCCACCAAGGCGACGAUCAGUAGGGGUUCUGAGAGGAAGGUCCCCCACAUUGGAACUGAGACACGGUCCAAACUCCUACGGGAGGCAGCAGUGAGGAAUAUUGGUCAAUGGACGAGAGUCUGAACCAGCCAAGUAGCGUGCAGGAUGACGGCCCUAUGGGUUGUAAACUGCUUUUAUAAGGGAAUAAAGUGAGUCUCGUGAGACUUUUUGCAUGUACCUUAUGAAUAAGGACCGGCUAAUUCCGUGCCAGCAGCCGCGGUAAUACGGAAGGUCCGGGCGCUAUCCGGAUUUAUUGGGUUUAAAGGGAGCGUAGGCCGGAGAUUAAGCGUGUUGUGAAAUGUAGACGCUCAACGUCUGCACUGCAGCGCGAACUGGUUUCCUUGAGUACGCACAGAGUGGGCGGAAUUCGUGGUGUAGCGGUGAAAUGCUUAGAUAUCACGAAGAACUCCGAUUGCGAAGGCAGCUCACUGGAGCGCAACUGACGCUGAAGCUCGAAAGUGCGGGUAUCGAACAGGAUUAGAUACCCUGGUAGUCCGCACGGUAAACGAUGGAUGCCCGCUGUUGGUCUGAAUAGGUCAGCGGCCAAGCGAAAGCAUUAAGCAUCCCACCUGGGGAGUACACCGGCAACGGUGAAACUCAAAGGAAUUGACGGGGGCCCGCACAAGCGGAGGGACAUGUGGUUUAAUUCGAUGAUACGCGAGGAACCUUACCCGGGCUUGAAUUGCAGAGGAAGGAUUUGGAGACAAUGACGCCCUUCAGGGCCUCUGUGAAGGUGCUGCAUGGUUGUCGUCAGCUCGUGCCGUGAGGUGUCGGCUUAAGUGCCAUAACGAGCGCAACCCCUCUCCUUAGUUGCCAUCAGGUCAAGCUGGGCACUCUGGGGACACUGCCACCGUAAGGUGUGAGGA
This 1142-nucleotide ribosomal RNA is filed under the name uncultured bacterium. RNAcentral's name for it is "bacterial SSU rRNA". It matches the Rfam family "Bacterial small subunit ribosomal RNA", at positions 37 to 1170 of the family's 1533-position model. The record is from RNAcentral.